Non-coding RNA from Octopus bimaculoides (California two-spot octopus), 72 nucleotides. The record is from Rfam. NCBI's taxonomy places the organism in Eukaryota, Metazoa, Mollusca, Cephalopoda, Octopoda, Octopodidae.
GCGUCGGUGGUGUAACGGUUAGCAUGGUUGCCAUCCAAGCAGUCGAUCCGGGUUCGACUCCUGGCCAACGCA